AGGCUUGCGGUAAGGAGCCUGCAGGAUGCACCUCGGUAGGUAGCGGGGAGUGGUGCCUUAGGCUCCCGGUGUGUUUCGGUCUUCAUAGUCUUGCUUCAAACAGGCAUGAGUGGGUGGAGGGGUGAGGGAUGUCUAUGGGAUACGUUAGGCGUGAUACGAUGGACGGAUAGUGUUGAAAGCGUUUCUCUCACCCCAGGGAAGUGACCAGUCUCGCUUACAUUCCCCAGCUUUUAUCUGUACUUUAGUGGCCCAA
This 253-nucleotide long non-coding RNA is filed under the name Homo sapiens (human). RNAcentral's name for it is "non-protein coding lnc-FAM237B-6:4". The record is from RNAcentral. Lineage: Eukaryota; Metazoa; Chordata; Mammalia; Primates; Hominidae.